GACGAACGCUGGCGGCGUGCCUAAUACAUGCAAGUAGAACGCACAGUUUAUACCGUAGCUUGCUACACCAUAGACUGUGAGUUGCGAACGGGUGAGUAACGCGUAGGUAACCUGCCUGGUAGCGGGGGAUAACUAUUGGAAACGAUAGCUAAUACCGCAUAAUAUUGAUUAUUGCAUGAUAAUUGAUUGAAAGAUGCUAUUGCAUCACUACCAGAUGGACCUGCGUUGUAUUAGCUAGUAGGUGAGGUAACGGCUCACCUAGGCGACGAUACAUAGCCGACCUGAGAGGGUGAUCGGCCACACUGGGACUGAGACACGGCCCAGACUCCUACGGGAGGCAGCAGAAGGGAAUCUUCGGCAAUGGACGAAAGUCUGAGCGAGCAACGCCGCGUGAGUGAAGAAGGAUGUCGGAUCGGAAAGCUCUGUUGUAAGAGAAGAACGGGUGUGAGAGUGGAAAGUUCACACUGUGACGGUAUCUUACCAGAAAGGGACGGCUAACUACGUG
RNAcentral lists this ribosomal RNA (505 nucleotides) under uncultured bacterium. RNAcentral's name for it is "partial 16S ribosomal RNA". It matches the Rfam family "Bacterial small subunit ribosomal RNA", at positions 28 to 507 of the family's 1533-position model. The record is from RNAcentral.